UACGUAGGAGACGAGCGUUGUCCGGAAUUACUGGGCGUAAAGCGCGUGUAGGCGGAUGGGCAAGUCUGCUGUGAAAGCUCCUGGCUUAACCGGGAGUGGUCGGUGGAAACUGCCAAUCUGGAGGACGGUAGAGGUAGGUAGAAUUCCGGGUGGAGUGGUGAAAUGCGUAGAUAUCCGGAGGAAUACCAAAGGCGAAGGCAGUGUCCUGGCUGGCAUCUGACGCUGAGGCGCGAAAGCUAGGGGAGCGAACAGG
RNAcentral lists this ribosomal RNA (253 nucleotides) under uncultured bacterium. RNAcentral's name for it is "partial 16S ribosomal RNA". It matches the Rfam family "Bacterial small subunit ribosomal RNA", at positions 524 to 776 of the family's 1533-position model. The record is from RNAcentral.